Molecule: ribosomal RNA, 485 nt
Filed under: uncultured bacterium
Lineage: Bacteria
Description: bacterial SSU rRNA
Rfam family: Bacterial small subunit ribosomal RNA
Source: RNAcentral
GAUGAACGCUAGCUACAGGCUUAACACAUGCAAGUCGGGGGGCAGCGCAGUGUAGCAAUACAUGGGCGGCGACCGGCGCACGGGUGCGUAACGCGUAUCCAACCUUCCCGUUACUCUUGGAUAGCCUUCCGAAAGGGAGAUUAAUACAGGAUGGUGUUUGAAUUCCGCAUGUUAUUCAAACUAAAGAUUUAUCGGUAACGGAUGGGGAUGCGUGACAUUAGAUAGAUGGCGGGUAACGGCCCACCAUGUCCACGAUGUCUAGGGGUUCUGAGAGGAAGGUCCCCCACACUGGAACUGAGACACGGUCCAGACUCCUACGGGAGGCAGCAGUGAGGAAUAUUGGUCAAUGGCCGGAAGGCUGAACCAGCCAAGUAGCGUGAAGGAUGAAGGUUCUAUGGAUUGUAAACUUCUUUUAUACGGGAAUAAAACCUCCCACGUAUGGGAGCUUGUAUGUACCGUAUGAAUAAGCAUCGGCUAACUCCGUG